This 656-nucleotide ribosomal RNA is filed under the name uncultured bacterium. RNAcentral's name for it is "bacterial SSU rRNA". It matches the Rfam family "Bacterial small subunit ribosomal RNA", at positions 124 to 775 of the family's 1533-position model. The record is from RNAcentral.
AUAUGCCUUAUGGUGGGGGACAACAGUUGGAAACGACUGCUAAUACCGCAUAAUGUCUACGGACCAAAGGGGGGGAUCUUCGGACCUCUCGCCAUUUGAUUAGCCCAAGUGAGAUUAGCUAGUUGGUAAGGUAAUGGCUUACCAAGGCGACGAUCUCUAGCUGGUUUGAGAGGAUGAUCAGCCACACUGGGACUGAGACACGGCCCAGACUCCUACGGGAGGCAGCAGUGGGGAAUAUUGCACAAUGGGCGAAAGCCUGAUGCAGCCAUGCCGCGUGUGUGAAGAAGGCCUUCGGGUUGUAAAGCACUUUCAGUAAGGAGGAAAGGGAAGUAGUUAAUAGCUGCUUUCUGUGACGUUACUUACAGAAGAAGCACCGGCUAACUUCGUGCCAGCAGCCGCGGUAAUACGAGGAGUGCAAGCGUUAAUCGGAAUUACUGGGCGUAAAGCGUUCGUAGGCGGUUGAAUAAGCAAGAUGUGAAAGCCCAGGGCUCAACCUUGGAACUGCAUUUUGAACUGUUCGACUAGAGUACUGUAGAGGGUGGUGGAAUUUCCAGUGUAGCGGUGAAAUGCGUAGAGAUUGGAAGGAACAUCAGUGGCGAAGGCGGCCACCUGGACAGAUACUGACGCUGAGGAACGAAAGCGUGGGGAGCGAACAG